This 314-nucleotide ribosomal RNA is filed under the name Lamina sp. CG145. Its description in RNAcentral is "partial 12S ribosomal RNA". The record is from RNAcentral. Lineage: Eukaryota; Metazoa; Arthropoda; Arachnida; Araneae; Toxopidae.
AGGUAGUAUUAUUAUUUCUAAAAACCAAUAUAAAUUGGCGGCAUUUCAUCUUAUUAGAGGAACAUGUUAUUUAAUCGAUAAUACACGGUCAAUUUCACUUAUUUUAAAAUUUUAUAUACCUCCGUCCUCAAUUUUUUUUUAAUAUAUUUCUAUAACAAUAAUCUAAAAGGUUAGGUAAAGGUGUAAACAAUAUAUAAGAUUUAAAUGUGUUACUUUAAAGAUAAUUUAAGGAUUUUAAUUAAAAACUUAAAUGAAAUAGGAUUUAAAAGUAAAAUUAAUAUAAUAUACUUAUUUGAACAAGAAAAUAAAUGUGU